AUGCCUAUCAUAGUCGAAGCAGAUUUAAAAUGGAUAAAGGCAGACAUUUUUUCAAGGAUAAGACAACCAAUUUUUUCAAAGACAGAUUUUCAAAGACAAGACAGCCAAUUUUUUCAAGGACAUGUGGAAGCUUGUAGGACAAAAUUUGCAUGGAUUGAAAACGUGACAUCGUAUGCUACAAAAUUUGCAUGGAAUGGAUUGGGAACGUGA
Molecule: non-coding RNA, 210 nt
Organism: Vicia faba (fava bean)
Lineage: Eukaryota; Viridiplantae; Streptophyta; Magnoliopsida; Fabales; Fabaceae
Source: the annotation of a GenBank genome assembly